UACGUAGGUCCCGAGCGUUGUCCGGAUUUAUUGGGCGUAAAGCGAGCGCAGGUGGUUUAUUAAGUCUGGUGUAAAAGGCAGUGGCUCAACCAUUGUAUGCAUUGGAAACUGGUAGACUUGAGUGCAGGAGAGGUAAGCGGAAUUCCUAGUGUAGCGGUGAAAUGCGUAGAUAUUAGGAGGAACACCAGUGGCGAAGGCGGCUUACUGGACGGCAACUGACGCUGAGGCUCGAAAGCGUGGGGAGCAAACAGG
This 252-nucleotide ribosomal RNA is filed under the name uncultured bacterium. Its description in RNAcentral is "partial 16S ribosomal RNA". It matches the Rfam family "Bacterial small subunit ribosomal RNA", at positions 524 to 776 of the family's 1533-position model. The record is from RNAcentral.